RNAcentral lists this long non-coding RNA (2737 nucleotides) under Triticum aestivum (bread wheat). RNAcentral's name for it is "long non-coding RNA (TAES_LNC022320)". The record is from RNAcentral. Lineage: Eukaryota; Viridiplantae; Streptophyta; Magnoliopsida; Poales; Poaceae.
UUGCGAGGAGUUAGAGGUCGUGCACCGGCCGGAGCAGCAAGAGCAAUGAUCUGGCGGCCUCUCUUCUCUGCCACUGCUCCCUUCUCUUCCUUCAGCUCUCGAGACGUCAACCUGCAGGUGUAGGUGCUUGUGUCUCAACCAUCUUUUUCCUGUAUCCUCAAUCACAUUUUUUAUUUCUGAUUCGUGUGUUACCAUAUUAUUGCUAGGCUAGAGUUUGUCUGUGGGUUGUUUAUGCCCGGCUUUAAUAUCGGCCCACACUAUUUAUAAGGAACUGCUGAUGUCCAGUUCAGAGGUAUGUUUUCUAGCUGAAGCAUUGUUUGAAUAUCUAUGGCCCAUGCUCCAAGUGAGAUUAAUUCUUUCAUUUAUUUUCUACUAAUGUGAGUGAUUUAGUUCUCACGUACUGAUAAAUGUGCAUGGCAUACUAUUUUUAGGCAAACCAUUGUUUAACAAUGGAUAUGCGGAGGGUUUUUUAUGCAUGUGCAUUUCCCCUGAAUCUAGACAGCUAUUCAACCUAUUGCGGACAUUUUUGGUGGAAUUCAAUGCUUCGUCAUGUAUUUUUGACCUCUAUAUUCCCUAUCAUGUGUAUUUAACAAGUGAAUGUUCAGUGAUUCUCGAUUUUGCCUUUUUAAUCUAUGAAUGCAAUCCUUAAUGUGAUGGAAAUGUAUUGUACAUUUUUUGUCGAGCAAAUAUUGAUUCAUGCCAUGCAUGUUAUCGGUGGGUUUAAAAAAAGUUUUCCUGAUUGUAGUGUGAUUGCUUUAUCAAAGUUGGUUUAGUUACCCAACCUUCUAUUUUCAUUGAUUUUGUAUGAUUCUUGAAAACGGAGUGUGGGUUGUGUUUAUCAAUAAUAUACUACAGAUGUCAGUUCUGUUGCCAAAUGAUCUAAACUUGAUUUACCCACUUAUAGAACAGAAAAGAGUAUGGUAUUUACCUUCCGUGGAUUUACUUGAAUGACUGUACAAGUAUCUCGGCUUGGUUUAUUUCCCAUCUCCAAUUUGAUUAAUAAUUACUAAGAUAUUUUUUCUUACUCCUUAUUUACUGACAUGUUUGAUUUGUAGUCUCCUCGUAUAUAAUCAAGUAGUGGUAGCUAAACAAACGUAUAUCUUGCCAUGCAUUGGUGAAAGUAUUAAAGCUUGUCUCUGGUUUACUUUCCAUGUGCUAUCCAUACCCAUGUUUUAUGUAGUUAAUUAAUAAACUCUCUCUAAAUAUGAUGAUCACAUGAGAUCAGACAGGUUCAUGGGGUGAUCGUGUAGCCGAGUUGAAAGUCAGAGGGUUUGUGCUAUGGGUCAUAGGAAUGGUCAUAACCUUAUUUGUUGGAAUAUUGCCUAAGAUGAUCAAAGCUAAUUAUUUUAGUCACUUGAUCUGUUAUAUUGCCAUAAACUGAAUUGGUACUAGGCGAACAUGAGGAUCUUUUAGCAGGUAGCCAUGUAAAAAACAAGAUAUAUGUCUAACAUAUAAUUUGAGAUGAAGUUGUCCUGCUCAAUUAAUUUAUAGUUUUCUGGAUGUUCUGGUUUUCAGUUUGGGAGCAAGUAGAAAUACCUGAUUUGAUGCUUAUUCUUUAGAAUUUUUCACAUUUCGCGAGAGCUAGGCAUACUUCUCGGUGACCUUGUCAUCUCCAACCCAUCUGUGGGUAUUUCAACUCCCCUUCUGUUUUUCAUUUUUCUGUGUACAUUUGCUCUACUCUCACUUUUAAUAUCGCUGGUAUUCUAUCAUUUUCUUAAUGCUUUAGUUUUGCUUGUUCUAUCUCCUCCCAUGUGCUAUUUAGAGUUCUUUUCUCUGUUUUUAAUUGCGGUUUUACAUCCUAUUCUAUUUGAGCUUUUUGGCUACGACAUAAUGAAUGGAUUAUUUCUUUAUUUGGCCUUUAUUAUAUUGUUUCCCAUCUACAAUAUGAAUCACUUUGCUAGCUAUAAAAAAACAUUAUGGGUUACUGCCUAGUGGACCUCUGAAUAUUUUUUCACCUCAGCUUGAUUGACAUGCUCACCGGCAGGAAAUGUAGUAUGAGAUGAUUUUCUUAAAUUUCUCUAGCUUUUCUUAUUGGUAUGUGCAUAAAGGACAAAGUCUUGUAUACUUAAUAUCAAGCCUUAUUAAUCUGCAUUUUUGGAAUACCAUUAAAAAUCUUGAAUUAGUUUUGCUUUGAUGGGUAAUCUAUCACUAAACAGAAUAUACCUUCCAGCCUUCACACAUAGAGACUAAUUUAGUACUUGGGUUGGGCUGCCCUAUUUUUCUGUGUGGUCGAAUAGGAAAGCUAAAUGUACAAUUUAUUUGCUCUACACCAUUUAUUGUGCCACAUUGAAGUACAUCUUUUUAUUAUUUCUUUCUAAUGCAAUCAUCAAUACCAUACAUUCAUUAAUCUUCCCAUUUUUUGUUCUCUUUUUGGUCAUACAUUUGGAUUAUUAUGGAUUUUCUGAAGGUGGUGGUGGGGGUUGCACGACAUGUUCUAUCUGGUUUCAGGAGUGUGUGCUGCUCCUGAAUUUUUUUCUCAGGUUGUCUCUUCAUAUUUCCACCUUAGUUCUGACAUUUUAUUUAUUGCUAAUCAUUUGAGUUAGUGUACGAUGAUAUAUUUGUGUGACGCCCGGGUAUUUAGCUACAGUAAUUCCCCGCUAAUGAUGCCACGUCACUUCGAUUACUUUCGCUAAUCUCGUGUUAGUUCGGAACCGAUUCAAAUUCAUAUUCAAAAUCAAGCAAACAAUAAACGUUUUCAAAAGUCAAAACUAAAAUGUUAUAAAUGUGACAAAUAAUU